RNAcentral lists this transfer RNA (77 nucleotides) under Cutibacterium granulosum. RNAcentral describes it as "tRNA-Pro". It matches the Rfam family "tRNA". Rfam says of the family: Transfer RNA (tRNA) molecules are approximately 80 nucleotides in length. Their secondary structure includes four short double-helical elements and three loops (D, anti-codon, and T loops). Further hydrogen bonds mediate the characteristic L-shaped molecular structure. tRNAs have two regions of fundamental functional importance: the anti-codon, which is responsible for specific mRNA codon recognition, and the 3' end, to which the tRNAs corresponding amino acid is attached (by aminoacyl-tRNA synthetases). tRNAs cope with the degeneracy of the genetic code in two manners: having more than one tRNA (with a specific anti-codon) for a particular amino acid; and 'wobble' base-pairing, i.e. permitting non-standard base-pairing at the 3rd anti-codon position. The record is from RNAcentral. Lineage: Bacteria; Bacillati; Actinomycetota; Actinomycetes; Propionibacteriales; Propionibacteriaceae.
CGGGCUGUAGCGCAGUUUGGUAGCGCACGUGACUGGGGGUCAAGGGGUCGCAGGUUCAAAUCCUGUCAGCCCGACCA